UUGCUGCUCCAAUUGUCUGGACACG
Molecule: microRNA, 25 nt
Filed under: Bombyx mori (domestic silkworm)
Lineage: Eukaryota; Metazoa; Arthropoda; Insecta; Lepidoptera; Bombycidae
Description: bmo-miR-3378-3p
Source: miRBase by way of RNAcentral